GCUUAUGGCCAUACCAGCCUGGCUAUGCCCGAUCUUGUCUGAUCUCGGAAGCUAAGCAGGUUUGGGCCUGGUUAGUGCCUGGAUGGGAGACCGCCUGAGAAUGCCAGGUACUCUAAGCU
Carassius auratus (goldfish) is the source of this 119-nucleotide ribosomal RNA. The record is from Ensembl. Lineage: Eukaryota; Metazoa; Chordata; Actinopteri; Cypriniformes; Cyprinidae.